This 549-nucleotide ribosomal RNA is filed under the name uncultured bacterium. RNAcentral describes it as "bacterial SSU rRNA". It matches the Rfam family "Bacterial small subunit ribosomal RNA", at positions 355 to 895 of the family's 1533-position model. The record is from RNAcentral.
UAGGGAAUCUUCCGCAAUGGGCGAAAGCCUGACGGAGCAACGCCGCGUGAGUGAUGAAGGUCUUCGGAUUGUAAAACUCUGUUAUUAGGGAAGAACAUAUGUGUAAGUAACUGUGCACAUCUUGACGGUACCUAAUCAGAAAGCCACGGCUAACUACGUGCCAGCAGCCGCGGUAAUACGUAGGUGGCAAGCGUUAUCCGGAAUUAUUGGGCGUAAAGCGCGCGUAGGCGGUUUUUUAAGUCUGAUGUGAAAGCCCACGGCUCAACCGUGGAGGGUCAUUGGAAACUGGAAAACUUGAGUGCAGAAGAGGAAAGUGGAAUUCCAUGUGUAGCGGUGAAAUGCGCAGAGAUAUGGAGGAACACCAGUGGCGAAGGCGACUUUCUGGUCUGUAACUGACGCUGAUGUGCGAAAGCGUGGGGAUCAAACAGGAUUAGAUACCCUGGUAGUCCACGCCGUAAACGAUGAGUGCUAAGUGUUAGGGGGUUUCCGCCCCUUAGUGCUGCAGCUAACGCAUUAAGCACUCCGCCUGGGGAGUACGACCGCAAGGUU